UACGUAGGGGGCUAGCGUUGUCCGGAAUCAUUGGGCGUAAAGCGCGUGUAGGCGGCCCGGUAAGUCCGCUGUGAAAGUCGGGGGCUCAACCCUCGGAUGCCGGUGGACACUGUCGGGCUCGAGUACGGAAGAGGCGAGUGGAAUUCCUGGUGUAGCGGUGAAAUGCGCAGAUAUCAGGAGGAACACCGGCGGUGUAGACGGCUUUCUGGACCGUAGCUGACGCUGAGACACAAAGCGUGGGUAGCAAACAGG
This 252-nucleotide ribosomal RNA is filed under the name uncultured bacterium. RNAcentral's name for it is "partial 16S ribosomal RNA". It matches the Rfam family "Bacterial small subunit ribosomal RNA", at positions 524 to 776 of the family's 1533-position model. The record is from RNAcentral.